GACGAACGCUGGCGGCGUGCCUAAUACAUGCAAGUUGAGCGAUGAAGAUUGGUGCUUGCACCAAUUUGAAGAGCAGCGAACGGGUGAGUAACGCGUGGGGAAUCUGCCUUUGAGCGGGGGACAACAUUUGGAAACGAAUGCUAAUACCGCAUAACAACUUUAAACAUAAGUUUUAAGUUUGAAAGAUGCAAUUGCAUCACUCAAAGAUGAUCCCGCGUUGUAUUAGCUAGUUGGUGAGGUAAAGGCUCACCAAGGCGAUGAUACAUAGCCGACCUGAGAGGGUGAUCGGCCACAUUGGGACUGAGACACGGCCCAAACUCCUACGGGAGGCAGCAGUAGGGAAUCUUCGGCAAUGGACGAAAGUCUGACCGAGCAACGCCGCGUGAGUGAAGAUGGUUUUCGGAUCGUAAAACUCUGUUGGUAGAGAAGAACGUUGGUGAGAGUGGAAAGCUCAUCAAGUGACGGUAACUACCCAGAAAGGGACGGCUAACUACGUG
Molecule: ribosomal RNA, 497 nt
Filed under: uncultured bacterium
Lineage: Bacteria
Description: partial 16S ribosomal RNA
Rfam family: Bacterial small subunit ribosomal RNA
Source: RNAcentral